GGGCCCGCACAAGCGGUGGAGUAUGUGGUUUAAUUCGAUGCAACGCGAAGAACCUUACCAGGGUUUGACAUCCUGCGAAUCUCUUGGAAACUUGAGAGUGCCUUCGGGAGCGCAGUGACAGGUGGUGCAUGGCUGUCGUCAGCUCGUGUCGUGAGAUGUUGGGUUAAGUCCCGCAACGAGCGCAACCCACGUCUUUAGUUGCCAGCAUUUAGUUGGGCACUCUAGAGAGACCGCCGGUGAUAAACCGGAGGAAGGUGUGGAUGACGUCAAGUCAUCAUGCCCCUUACAUCCUGGGCUACACACGUACUACAAUGGUAUCUACAACAGGAAGCAAGACUGCGAAGUUAAG
RNAcentral lists this ribosomal RNA (349 nucleotides) under uncultured bacterium. Its description in RNAcentral is "bacterial SSU rRNA". It matches the Rfam family "Bacterial small subunit ribosomal RNA", at positions 917 to 1267 of the family's 1533-position model. The record is from RNAcentral.